Molecule: long non-coding RNA, 10728 nt
Organism: Herpailurus yagouaroundi (jaguarundi)
Lineage: Eukaryota; Metazoa; Chordata; Mammalia; Carnivora; Felidae
Exons: 2
Source: RefSeq, a predicted model, not a curated record
ACCCCACCCCAGAUCCGGGCGUCGUCCUGGACCUCCCUGUGGCCCCGGCCGGCCGGCCGCUGACCUUGACCAGGGCGGUCUCCGCGUCUCCCAGGAGCUUCUUAGAGGCAGUGGCUUCAGACAGACACGCCUGACGUCGUGCGACUCCACAACUAGCCCCACGCGGGUACGGCCCUUCUCUUGUCUGCCGUGAGGACGUCACUUCUUCCCAAGACGGUUUUCCUACCAAAUCUUAACUGGCCCUAUUACUCUUGACUGAUCUCCAUUGUUUCCUGGAACCCUACCACCUUCCGCACCUGCGCAUCUUGCGCUCCUCACCCCCAUGUUCAUCACUGGGGGUCAUCUCUGCCGGGCGUGUGAGACUCGUGUUCUCUCCACCGUCCAGGUGAGGAACCCGGGUGCCAGCGAUCAGUCGGGACUGGCACUUGGGACUCUUGUCCCCACGGUCCCUGCUGUGGCAGAGCUGGGAUUUGAACACAGGCCUUUAAGGGCCUAUUUAACCUUUGUUUCUGUGGGGUAGUGUUUCUGUCCAUCUUCUUUCUCCUGGGGCAGGGACGGUUUUGCUUCCUCUUCUUGACCCGAUCCAUCGGCCUGGCUCAGCAAAGGCAAAGUAAAAGUGCUAAACAGAAUUACUUUUCGAAUGAAGUAAACCGCUUGUACCUAGCCCCUUUCUUCUGUGUCUUUUAGCCCUGCCUCUGCCUCUUGCCUCCUUUAGUGUGGAACGAUCCCGUGUCCUUCCACUAGAGGACCUUGCUUGGUCAGAGCAUCUGUAGCUGUUUUCUCCUCCUGUCCAAUUUUCCAUAAAAUUCGUUGCUGUCCCCUGCCCCCCCCCCCCAAAGUUCCUUUCUCCUUUUUUAUACAUUACACUUAGAUCAUUACUUAUUUUUACUGUAUUCUCUUAGGUUUGUUUUUGCUGUGUACUUGUCUGGACCUUUUGGAUUUUGAACCAGGUAAAUAUAUUGUCUAUUCAAAAGUAACUAAUUUUAAAAGACCUGAUAGAAUCCUAGCUCGGAAGAUUCUUAGGAGAAUCAAAAGAGAAAAUGGUUGUAAAGGUGCUUAGCAGUCUGUACAGUGAUUAAAGUGUGAAGGGUGAGUGUCACUCAGCUGUCACCGCCGAGUCACAAGGCUGAGUGAGUUGUCUCUUCCAAGGCACAGCCUCUUUGUCUCGGUUCGUCUCACAGCAUCAUCAACCCAGCGUGAUUUAAACCAGCGUGGGUUCCAGAAAUAAAAGCUGUGUGCGUGUCAGAGUUCUCCUCAGAUAACUUCACACUGGAGGAAAAUUCUGGCCUGUUGUCACGUGGCUAAGCAGUAACUAUGCUAGGAAGUCGCCAUUGGGUUUAAGUUCACAAAAGACCCACCCACAUUUACUCUUUGAUUUUGCACCCUUUUUUUCUUCUGGAAGUUUUAGUCUGCUUUAUUAAUGGAAAUAUCGUGUUCACUAUGUAGUUAUAAUUAAUAUUACCCACCUACCCUGUGAUCGACCUUAUGCUAAGAGCGUUGGGAGACAUAGGUAAGCCUGAGCUCAGGGUGCUUCCAUUAGAAUGGUGAUACGUGUGGUCAGAAGACCCUUGGAGAAUGAUUGCAGUAAUCAGAACGAUGACGUCAGCACCAGGUUAAGGUACUCGUGGCCUUCAGUACGAUGUGGAAGAUGUCCCCUGAGAUUCUGUCCCUCUUCCGCCCCCCAUCCCAUUGUGCUUUAUUUGUUGUCGCUUCCAGAAUUGUCUUUUUGCAGUCCCCGUGAAAAGUGGAUCGUCUCUGUUCAGAGUCCUCAAUGCCCGUUGUGUGAGGUCCUACCAGACCUGAGCUCCACUGGGCAGAACCGGGCCUUCGCCGUGUUUGUUUCUUUUAGUAGCUAACAGAGUUCGUACCGCAGAAGGAAAAGGAAAAGGGCAGUUGGGGGGUGGGGAGGGGGAUACCUUGGAACUAUGUGCUGUAACCGUAGGAGUUCAGCACGGAGAGAUCGGCACGGGUGGAUUAGUGAGAGAGGCUCAGUGAAGGAAGCAGCGCCUGACUUCCAUAACGCGUGUCGUGUGCUAUAGAAGAGAGUGGAAUCCAAAGCUCAUAGAGCCAGCCUUCCAUUUUCCUUACAGAAAUGUAAACCGUAUAUUCACGUUUGCGUGCGUGAAAUGCACACAGGGUUCUGAAGAGCGACUUACAUUUUACACUGCAGGUACCUGUAUUGUUUGAAUUAUUCCAGAGUUGUGUAUUCAUGUGAAACUUUUUUUUUUAAGUGGGAAAGAGAAAAAUUGACUUAAUAAGAAGAGGAAGAUUGAGAAGAGAGGUAAAUGGAAUGGGGAAUAAAUUAAGCAAAAGCUUAGGCAGUUGGUAGUUUUGUGGGAAUAAUGAAUGUAAUCAUGAGAGUCUGAGAAGGUUUGGGGAGUAAGAAGUGGAACGUAACAGUAUAACUGGAAUAUCAUGAUGUUAUGAAAUGCUUCCGAGUUGGCAUUGAACUGAGAACCUUAAGGUGUUAUCAUAAACUUUGAGCCCGAAAGUUACAUAUUUUACGGAUUUCUGUUAGAGAAGAGCUUUCUUUUUCUUUUUUAAAUUACACACCAUCGUUAGAUAGCAGUUAACAGCCUUUCUGUGCAAAGAGCCAAGAUUUUAGGCUAAGUAGGAACGAAAGGCACCAAUUGUUAAGGUACCAACACGAAGAUACUUUAGAUAGUAAAGUACGAGAAGUAACAAAUGUGAACGGAAAACUAUAUUUUAUACAUAACAGAAUCAUUUCUAAGUUAUCCGAAAUACAAAAUAUGCAUCCUCAACCCUGGUUUUCUUUCCCCGCCCCCAAUCCUGAUUUUCAGUUGUAGAAAGGAGGAGGAGGGAUUCUGUUUUCCCAGGCCCUGUAAUGUAGCAUCAUCAGAUUUAGCAAAUAAAGAUGCAGGACAUACGGUUCAUGCGAGUUUCAGAUACACGACAAAUAAUGCAGUAUUUAGGACAUACUAAAAAAAUUCCCUCUUGUGUGUCUGAGAUUCACAUCGAACUGGGGCCCUACAGGUUAUCGGGUGACUCUCACGCUAUUGCUUCUGCCCCCCCUGCAGAAACCAUACCCAGACAUUAGUGACAGUAGCAACAGAGAAGUCGACAUUUCAAAAGCGUAUUUUGCAAAGAUGGAGCAGAGAAUGGAAACCGAAGCGUGGUAGAUGGCGUGCUUACCGAGUCCGUGAUUGGACCAGUGGCCCUCGCUUGGGGGUGGUUUUUCCCCCUGGGGACAUUUGGGGGGCGGCGCUGCUGCCGGGCACCCCACGGGGCACAGGACGGCCCCGCGGCAAAGAGCGUGCAGUCCAGAAUGCCUCGGUGCCGGGCGGAGGAAUCCCACCCCGGGCUGUUGAGGAAAGUGGACACGAACCACUCGCGUCCCAGCCUCCGUGUGAGGCCCCUCGCUCUUCUGGGCCUCCGUUUUCUCAACUGCCAGUUGUCCCGCAUUAACGGAAGCAGAAGGGGGACGAGCGAGCCCACGGCCCCUGCUUGGCCCAUGCUGGGUCCUGGUACGGGUGCGGAGCGCGUGCCAGAGCUCACAGUGAGCGUGCACGAGUGUGGGUGGGCGGUGAGCGUGGACGAGUGUGGGUGGGCGGUGAACACAGAUGGGUGUCCGCGGGUGAGCGUGCGCAGGCGGUGGGCGUGGACGAGUGUGGGUGGGCGGUGAGUGUGGACGGCGUCGACGAGUGUGCGCCGGCGUGAGCCUGGACGAGUGUGAGCGGGCGGUGAGCGUGGACGGGUGUGCGUGGGCGAGUGUGAGCGGGCGGUGAGCGUGGACGAGUGUGGGCGGGCAGUGAGCGUGCACGAGUGUGGGCGGGCGGUGAGCGUGGACGAGUGCGCGCCGGCGUGAGUCUGGACGAGUGUGCGCGGGCGGUGAACGUGGACGGGUGUGCGUGGGCGAGUGUGAGCGGGCGGUGACGGAGCCUCGGCCCGCCCUGCCAGCUGGUCACCCAGCCCUCUUAGCGUCCUGCGCUCCUUUCUGUCGAGAGAGGCCUGACUCUGCUGUCCACGCGGAACAGUGUUUCCCCUCCCCCCACCCCCGCCCGCUGUCUUCUAGCAGCUUAUCGGAAAGUCGGCCUAAUACCUUGACUUGAGCUUCAACGUCGCAGUGCGUGCUUUGUUGUUGGAACACAAAGCUGCGGAUUCUGUUUUGUUUCUAUUUGAAAGUAGACGUGGUACUUCUAUAAGCCACAUCGACUCCAUGCUCCUGAAAACACUAUAGCUUUCCUGAGUGAACCAUAUUCCAGUUAUUUCCAAUAAUUCUUUUGAAAGCCUAAGUAAGGGUGGCUCGUGGUUGUGUUCCUGUUCACAUGGAAGGAGUGCUUUCCUGGCAGAUGGUGUCAAGAGUCACGUUGCGAGUUUACUCCGCGAGUCGGAGUUACCCCUUUUUACUCAAAAUGAGCCACCGUGGCUCUGUUUGACAGCUCUGGACGGACGUACACAGAACUUGCUAAACUGCUCUGUUGCCCUCUUUCCUUCAUGGAGUGUAUUUUUACGUCGUUAAUGGACAGGAGUCGCUUGCAGUGCUUGGACCAGCUCUUGUAGGCUUGGAGAGGGUUCUGCAGAGCGUUCAGAACCUGCUUCAAAAAAUAACUGGGAAGAUCAGAGAAACGACUGUUGGAAGGGAACCCCUUUCCUGUUAACUCUUUGUGACAGUUCCGCAGGAAAAAAGUAACUUCUAUCAUUUAACCAUUUUUGUUAGUGUUGAGUGAAGGCAUUCCACAAACAACAAACGGGAAGUUCCUCGGAUAGAUCCAGACCAGUGCAUUUAAAUCCCAUUCAGGCGACAACGGGAGGGUUUCUAGGGCACCACAGCCACGCAGCCACCUGGCCCCUCACCUUCGUGUUGUUUGCCCCAAGGGCACACGCUGUGUUCUCUGUGUCGUGCCUUCCCCUGUAGGAUCCAGUUCGCAUCAGAUCCUUGUUAGCGGGUGAGAUGGCCACAGUGGUUACACUGAUUCAGUCGUCGUCGUAGGGAAGGCACAGCCUCAGGGCCCGGCUGCUCCCUGCAGGGGCGCGUGGCGCCGUCACCCAGCAGCCCUGGCCACCCCGCGGCACCAGCCGGCAGGUUCCAGCGGGACGGGACACACACCCCGCGGACCCGGUCGCGUCCUGGCCGCUGCUCGUGGCCCACGGCCCCCGGCCCCCCCGGAGGUGGUAUGGGGCAGAGAGCAGUGAAGUCCACGAAGUCCACGAACCAGGCCUCACGUGGACGGAUUUCUGUUAGCACCGAAAAAGGGAAGUAACUGUUCGACCGCCUGCCGAACACACUCCCUGCUGGCCCCACCGCCACCGGAGUGUAGCCUUGUGAUGUCGUCUCGCCGAUGGCCUCAGGGCCGGGGCAUGUCAUAGCACCUGGGCGAAAGGGCAGUGAUGAGAGGUCCUUCUUCAUAGAAGAAGGCCACGUCUGAGAACUAACGAGGCUUUGGCCGUAUCCGGCUGGUUCUCGGGGCUAACCUAGGACGGGAGACCAUCAUUCCAUUGCCUUCGGAGCUGAGAACGAAGAAUGCAUCUUCCUGUUGCCGUGGCUUAUCUCAAAGGCCAUUCUCCGUCACUCUCAGUGAGCACCCUGUGUUGGGGAGAGUGACAGAGCAAUGAAGAAGCUAACUCCCUGCAAGAGAUGCCUCCUCGUGCAAUAACGGUGGCCGUAUCAGGAGGGGCAGAGCCAAGUUCACGUAGCCUUUGUGGCGCAGAUGGCUCGCCUUCUGAGAGAUGCCUCAUCCCCUCGGAUUCCACCCUCAGAAAUUGUCUCUCAGAAUGGAAACCUCAGUGGGGAUGGGCUGUCUUCGUGAGUUUCACGAUUAUCAGCCUUAACCAAUAUUCGGGGUGCAGAAUGAAAGUUGAAAUAUCUUGUUAUUUUUGUUUUACUUCAGCCAUAAUCAACCCUAAUUUUUCAAGCAUAUGUUUCCAUUUUACUUUAUGUUGCAAAGCCUCUGGACGCAGUCCCAAGUGCUAAGUGCUCACCUUAACUGCACCUCGUCGAGGUGGUAAAUGGCCUCUUCGCAGCAGACUGCGGUUAGAGACAGCUUCCGGCAGCGGCGGGGAUGGGCAAAUGACCUCGGCUCCUGCGGGCCUCUAUCAGCGGUGGUCCACGUUAUUGAUAGUAGCGGAGAUAUUGACAGUCUGUGCUUGGAAGGAAAAUAGGAGUUUGAUAUGACAUAUUGUGUGUCUCAGCAAGACUCAUAAAUAAUUUUGACAAGUUUUUGUAUGCAUGGGAAAGUCCUUGAUUCAGCCUCCCAUAAAAAUAAACUUCUAUUAUGGAAUGUAUUUGUCAAGUGGCUGCUUGAUGGAUGGAGCUGCGUUUACCCCUUGGCAGUUCGAUGAGUUUUAGAUGCACAGCUUACCAGAGAGGAUUUACGGGUAGUACAGAAAUAAUUAUUCAGUAUGAAAUGCAUAAUUCCUGUACCUGAAUUUUCAUUUUUUAUUAUAUUUUUGUUUCUGUUGCAUUUCUGGUCUCUAAAACAAAAGAAGUUGCUUUCUGCGCACCGCCACCCCCCCCCCCCUUGGAGCUAUUGUUUGUAGGAGACUUUAUGUUGAACAAUCUGAUUCAACCCAGACCCUGUCCCAGACUUAGCGGGCAUAUUUUCAUUGAAUGGGUAAUUUUGGUUUUGUAACUUAAGAGAGAUUUACUAAAAACAAAGAAGAUAAGCAAUUUGCAAAAUUUAUUUGUAUUAAUGGGAUUGAGAACUUUGGACAUAGAUGGUCUUAUUUUUCCUGAAGUUAUCACAGCUCUUUACUUAUUUUACUUAUUUGAUUGCUCGUCUACAUUUCAGCUCCAUAAAACAGAAUUUAAACUUAAAUUCUUAUCUCCUUACACUAAACUCUGUCUUUUUUUCCUCUGAACUAUAUUUAGAAUUGCUUUCGCAUCAACCAUGCACCCUGUAAGUUAGCAUCCUCGAAUAAGUUAGAAGCUUCGGAAAGUGUUAAACUCCCACGAGCGUAUGACCUUGUUGGGCUUGUAUUACGUGACGUGCUAGAUGGUAUCUGGGGGGACCAAGCAGACUCUAACUUGGAGAUGCAUGUUCGGGAAAACCAGAGUGAACAGUGGGUCCGCAGGAAUCUUGAUUCUCCGUUAGAACAUCGUGCUGGCUUUUCAUAAGAAUUUCCACUUGCUGAAUCUCUAUUAAGGUGCCUCUUGGGACCCAAAUGGGAAGGUGUGGCCAGAGCGGGAGGAUAAGCCGGCCAGGCCUGUUUGAGAAUGUGGCUCUGAGCUUCUUUGGGUGCUGAGUUCCUGAUGCGUGGCUAAUGUAGUCCUCUGUGCCUUCUCUCUUCCUGCUUGAGAGUGGUUUGUUAAUCUUACUAGUCUGCAAAAUAGCAGCUCCUUCUGGUUCUUUGUUUUAUGUUUAAUAAAUUCUGCUUUUACGUUUUAUUUCCUUCCUUGUACUUUUUUGUUUGCUCCGAUUUUUUUUUUUCCUGAUUUUUCUUCUUUUUCCUGAUGCUUGCCUGAUUUCUGUGCUUUAUAGGCACCCACGCUACAGGACCUGAAUUUCCCUCUAAGUAAUGCCUUAGCUGCAACCUCCAAGUUUUACUGUUCUAGAAUUUCUGAAAUCUUUCAGCUCUACAUGUUUUCUGAUUUCCAUUUCCAUUUCUUCUUUAAUCUCUUAAGCUAUUUUAAAUUGUUCUUAUACUUCCUGAUGUUGGUGGGUUUCUAGCUUUUCUACUUGUUACUAGCUUAUCACUUAAAGCACUGUAAUCGGGAGUGCCUGGGUGGCUCUGUCAGUUAAGCGUCUGACUUCAGCUCAGGUCAUGAUCUAGUGGUCCGUGAGUUCAAGCCAUGCAUCAGGCUCUGUGCUGACAUCUCGGAUCCUGGAGCCUGCUUCAGAUUCUGUGUUUCCCUCUCUCUCUGCCUCUCCUCCAGUCUAUCUUGCUCUCGCUCUUGCUGUAGCUCUCAAGAAUAAAUAAACAUUAAAAAUGUGUUUUUAAAUAAAGCACUGUAGUCAGAAAAUGCAGUGUCAAGGCCCACAGAAUGAAACAGCUGCUGCCUUCAGGGGACUCUCGGUCACAAGUAGAGAAGAAAAUAUGUUAGUAGGUGAUUACCCUGCAACACAAGAGGUGCUAGAAGGGAAAUUGGUAUCAGAUGCCACAGGGACUCACGUAGAGGCUCACUCAGCUCUCCGCAGUUGUGCUGUGGAGUUAGAAGCUAGGUUUGGAAAGGUGUUUUCUAGACGGAGAGGUACAUGGUAUUCUAGGCAGGAGGAGAAAUCCUUGCAAUGCAUGGGCUCCAAGUGGGUAACUUUGGUGUGGCUGCUCAAAGACCAUAUUUAUGUUUGGGAGUAUCCGGGGGUGAGGCUGCAACGUCACACUAGGGACAAAUUGUGAAGAUCGUUGUGUGUGGUGCCGAGGAGGUUAGACGUGAGUGUUGGAUGUUGGGGAGCCCUACGUAGAUUUUAAUGAUGACCUCUUUGCAAGUCGCUGGAAGGAUACAGCAAAGAUCUGCCGAAUACCUGCCACUUUCCAGGCGCUGCCCCCUGUGCUGCAAGCACAGCCCUACAUGGAGACAGAAAUGGCCACAGGCCUUGCUGUCCAGUGGAGGAGAAGGGCACUGUCACCAUUACACACACGACUUUGUUGUCCAGUUCUGAAGAUGCUCUGUAGGAAAAGCACUGGGUCCACGGAGGUCGAGAACUGCGGCAUAACCCGACGUUAACGGUUGGGGAAGCUUCCUGAGGAAGCGGCCUGUCCAUUCAUCUUGGAGGAAGAGCCGCCUGAUGGCAGGGCCUGCAGAGGGUGGUCUCGGGAGUGCGAGCGUCCUGGUGCACGUUCUCAGUUCCUUAAGACGAUUUCCUAGCAGGAGGAUCCAAGAGCCGUUGAUUCCAGAGCGUUGGUACACAUUGCCAAGUCGCCCUCCCCUGGACCGCCCCCGCUGCAGGUGCCCGAGGGCGCUGUCUCCCCUCUCACCGUGUGCACACGGCCUUCAUUGCCAGCAUAGCGGUCUGUCCAGCACACAGCUCUUCGGACUGCUGGUGAGGCUCGCGCUCUUCCAAAUGUUCCUUACGCAUGUGUGCCGUUGGCUUUGUGAACUCUUCGUCUUUUAACUUCAACAAUUUGUUUUAUCUUUAAGAUAAACAUUUAGUGUGAUGUAUGGCUUCAGUGUCAUACCUUUUUAUUUCAGGGUUAUAGGAGCAUUUUGAUUACAUUCUUUGAUUUUUAUGGUCUUCCUUUUUAAGAAUCCAAACCUUCAAUCCAUUUGGGACAUAUUUUGGUAUAAAGUCUCACCUGAAGAUCUAAUCUCAUUUUUCCCCCAAAUGGUUACUUUCCCAAUGUAUUUGUUGAGUAAUCCAUGCUUUCCCUCUCUGAUUUGAAAUGCCACCUUUAUCUCAUCACUUCCCAGGCAUAUUUUAUUUUCUCCAGAUUCUUUAUUCUGCUUGGUGCACUAACUCUCUUCUCUCACCACAGGGACCCGUUCUUUUUCUUACUGCAUUGCUAUCGUGUUCUCUUUUAAUAUUGGAUAGGACAGAUUCCCUUAAUUUCUCUUAUUUCAUGCAUUGUUCAAGAGUAUACUUUAAGUAAAUUGUUAUCUUUGUAUUUUAAAAUUUCCUUUAUAGAACACUGUUUCUCACCAGUUACUCCAGCUUUUGAUCAUUCAACCAGUUAUUUUCCCUGUAUGGUAAAUAUUUGGUAGCAGGUGUCUAGAAUUUUUCGAUUAUUGUACUUAUAUACCAUUUAUAAAAGAGCUAUUUAUUUUUGUCUAUUUUUCUUAUAUCAAGCCACUGAACUGUGUCCUGUUAGUGCAGAGCUGAUUGUUUUACACAUCAUAGGUAGUCCCAUAUAUUGUAAUCCACUGGCAAUAAGUGGUAAACAGGGAAAUAACCAAACUAUAAGUACAUAGUUGAGUGAAUGAAAUAAGCAUCCCCCCAGCCCAAAUGCAUGCGCCCUGUAUAUCUCCCUAAGAAUACACAGUUGGUAACAGACUUAUUUUUAAAUGUGAACGCCUCCAGGAGAAUUAAACCGUGUACUCCUUGUUCAGUAACUUGAUUCCUACCGAAGUGUUGCAUAACUUGAAAUCACUUUUUAUGAGGGUGAAUUAGGGAAGAGACUAGGAAUUUUAUGGCGAUGGCAAGCUAGGAGAGUAUUUUGUUAAACACUCACUAUGGUAGGAACUCUGUUACUCGUCCAAUACAACGAACCGUUGUAUUCAAUAGUAACUCCUGUGAGAGUGUUAUCCUUAUUCCACAGUAAAGCAAGUCCAGACAGAUAGUUUUAAGUAACUUUUUCAGGAUUUGAAGUCACGUAGUUUGAGUCCAGAACCCAGCUGCUAAGCACUGUGCUGUAUUGCCAAGAAAGCAGACAUGUCAUAGGGCAGAAGUCGUCCGCGGGUUUUGUUUUUCAUUUUAUUGUUUCUGAAAUCAGGAAUCCCGAUAAUUUCUUCUAAAUCAAGGUCUCCUUUUGCCAUCAGUAACGUCUUAGACUUAAAGAGAUAAAAUAAAAGGUCUUGAGUCCUAAAGGUAGGACUGGCGUAGUAGCAAAAGACAAAAGCAUGAGAUGGGAGAGUGUUUCUCAGGGGACAUCCUGCAGAUUUUGUUGUUUGGCUUGGGGCUGUGGCUCCAGCAAUUACAUCCUGAGAGCCACUGUUGGCGAUUUGUUCUUCAGGAAUUGGGGGAACUACUGACACGUAGCACAGCACAGUCACAGGGAUUACGCUGAGCCUGUGAGGCCAUACCUAGGGAACGAAGUACUAUAUCAAUCAAUUUACAUGAAAUUCUGGAGGAGGCAAGACUAAUCUGAGGCUUAAAAAAAGAAGAAAGAAAGAAA